This 409-nucleotide ribosomal RNA is filed under the name bacterium. RNAcentral describes it as "partial 16S ribosomal RNA". It matches the Rfam family "Bacterial small subunit ribosomal RNA", at positions 355 to 776 of the family's 1533-position model. The record is from RNAcentral.
UAGGGAAUAUUGCACAAUGGGCGAAAGCCUGAUGCAGCGACGCCGCGUGAGGGAUGACGGCCUUCGGGUUGUAAACCUCUUUCAGUAGGGACGAAGCGCAAGUGACGGUACCUGCAGAAGAAGCACCGGCUAACUACGUGCCAGCAGCCGCGGUAAUACGUAGGGUGCGAGCGUUGUCCGGAAUUACUGGGCGUAAAGAGCUCGUAGGCGGUUUGUCACGUCGUCUGUGAAAUCCUAGGGCUUAACCCUGGACGUGCAGGCGAUACGGGCUGACUUGAGUACUACAGGGGAGACUGGAAUUUCUGGUGUAGCGGUGGAAUGCACAGAUAUCAGGAAGAAAACCGAUGGCGAAGGCAGGUCUCUGGGUAGUAACUGACGCUGAGGGGCGAAAGCAUGGGUAGCGAACAGG